AGUGAACGCUGGCGGUAUGCCUAACACAUGCAAGUCGAACGGCCAGACAAUAAGCGCUUGCUCUUACGGUUGGCGACUGACGGGCGAGUGAGGCGUGCAUCGGCAUCUACUUUUUCGUGGAGAAUAACGUAAGACCACUUACGCUACUACCGCAUACAAUCUACCGGAUAAAUCAGUAGAUCUUCGCACCUUGCCUGUUUGAAUUAGCUGAUGUCGGAUUAGCUAGUCUGCGGGGUAAGGGCCUACCAAGGCGACGAUACGUAGCGGGGCUGAGAGGAUGAUCAGCCACACUGGAACUGAGACACGGUCCAGACUCCUACGGGAGGCAGCAGUGGGGAAUAUUGGACAAUGGGCGAAAGCCUGACGGAGCAAUACCGCGUGAGUGAAGAAGGCCUUCGGGUUGUAAAACUCUGUUGUUGGGAAAGAAAAACAGCAGGUGAAUACACGGCCGUUCUGACGGUACCCAAAGAAUAAGCACCGGCUAACUUCGUG
This 492-nucleotide ribosomal RNA is filed under the name uncultured bacterium. RNAcentral describes it as "partial 16S ribosomal RNA". It matches the Rfam family "Bacterial small subunit ribosomal RNA", at positions 29 to 507 of the family's 1533-position model. The record is from RNAcentral.